GCCGGAGUGGCGGAAUGGCAGACGCACAUGGUUCAGAGCCAUGCGUCCGCAAGGACAUGAGGGUUCGAGUCCCUCCUCCGGCA
RNAcentral lists this transfer RNA (83 nucleotides) under Candidatus Uhrbacteria bacterium. Its description in RNAcentral is "tRNA-Leu". It matches the Rfam family "tRNA". From Rfam's summary of the family: Transfer RNA (tRNA) molecules are approximately 80 nucleotides in length. Their secondary structure includes four short double-helical elements and three loops (D, anti-codon, and T loops). Lineage: Bacteria; Candidatus Uhriibacteriota. The record is from RNAcentral.